This is a non-coding RNA of Zalaria obscura, 121 nucleotides long. The record is from the annotation of a GenBank genome assembly. NCBI's taxonomy places the organism in Eukaryota, Fungi, Ascomycota, Dothideomycetes, Dothideales, Zalariaceae.
GGGCUUAUGGUCUAGCGGUAUGACAUCUUCUUAGCAUCUUGCGAAGUUCUGAUCACUCGAUCAGUUACGACCGCAGUUACUGAGUUGGAGAAGGUUCCCGGUUCGACUCCGGGUUAGUCCA